UGUCAAUAAGUCACGUCACAUACUAAACACAUAUUUAAUAAAGUUCUCCAUGAGUUAGCCUACAUUUGUUUAGAUUUAUUUCCAAAUUAGAAAAUAUUCCCAAUUCCUGUUUUAUUUACAACCAUUCGCUUGUCACUUUGACGUUUGACAGCGAACUAUUUGAGUUUCGUUGUCUUUGACAGAUUCGGUAACUUUCAUUCCAAUGCCUUUAAAAUUGUCUCAAACGUUUUCAUAUUUGAUAAAUUCUUCUUUUCGUUUAAAUUUCGCAAGUGGUAGUUUUGUUUUAGGAAAAAUAGAUCCGACAAUAUUUGAUAAUAUAUUUAAUAAUAUAUUCGUCAAAAAUUGUUCAAAAUUUAUUACAAUUUUAGCAUUUUGGUUAGCAAAAAUCAUUCUUAUUUCGGAUCUGGUAACAUUUCUUCUUAUCGAUGGUUCGAUGUGAAUUCCGUCUUGUCAUUUUACUGUCAGCUUUCUCAUUGGAAAACAGAUAAAAUUUUGAUCCGAGAAAAUCAUUGUAAAUUUCCAUUAUUUUGGUGAAAUACCGGCAGUGCUUUGUUCCGGAGGUUUGCUCCGUCCCUCAGGAAUGGAUUAGGGGCGAAAAUAAUGCCGCCACGGCAAACCCCGGCAACCUAAUGAAGGGCUAACGUAAGUUUUUCCUCAAUUUCCACAAUCGUCUUUCGGAAAAUGCGAUUCCUUUUAAAUUUUCCGGUUCGACUUUAGCUGACUCGCGCCAUUUUUCUUUUCCAGAUAAGGGGCGUGUUAGCCCUUAUAACCCUUAUAAUCCUUUUAA
Molecule: long non-coding RNA, 787 nt
Organism: Cydia amplana
Lineage: Eukaryota; Metazoa; Arthropoda; Insecta; Lepidoptera; Tortricidae
Exons: 2
Source: RefSeq, a predicted model, not a curated record